This 2346-nucleotide ribosomal RNA is filed under the name Agrobacterium tumefaciens. RNAcentral's name for it is "bacterial LSU rRNA". It matches the Rfam family "Bacterial large subunit ribosomal RNA", at positions 121 to 2508 of the family's 2925-position model. The record is from RNAcentral. Lineage: Bacteria; Pseudomonadati; Pseudomonadota; Alphaproteobacteria; Hyphomicrobiales; Rhizobiaceae.
GAUCUCUCCGCCYCGAAACUCUCAAGGGAAAKGGAUCGAAGCCCGUUGGGCUUUGCAAGGCCAAGGGCCGUCACCGCUUAUGCGGUGUAGGUUCAACGUUUUGGUGGCUGGUGAAACACUUCAGGUUUCUAGGUAUUAUCAUAAGGUAUCUACACCUGAAUAAAAUAGGGUGUAAGAAGCGAACGCAGGGAACUGAAACAUCUAAGUACCUGCAGGAAAGGACAUCAACCGAGACUCCGCAAGUAGUGGCGAGCGAACGCGGACCAGGCCAGUGGCAAUGAGUGUUAAAGUGGAAGAACCUGGAAAGGUUUGCCGUAGAGGGUGAUAGCCCCGUACGCGUAGAUACACUUAUUGUCCUAGAGUAGGGCGGGACACGUGAAAUCCUGUUUGAACAUGGGGCGACCACGCUCCAAGCCUAAGUACUCGUGCAUGACCGAUAGCGAACCAGUACCGUGAGGGAAAGGUGAAAAGCACCCCGACAAGGGGAGUGAAAUAGAACCUGAAACUGGAUGCCUACAAACAGUCGGAGCCCGCAAGGGUGACGGCGUACCUUUUGUAUAAUGGGUCAACGACUUAGUGUAACAAGCAAGCUUAAGCCGGUAGGUGUAGGCGAAGCGAAAGCGAGUCUGAAUAGGGCGAUUUAGUUUGUUGCAUUAGACCCGAAACCGAGUGAUCUAGCCAUGAGCAGGUUGAAGGUUGGGUAACACCAACUGGAGGACCGAACCCGCAUCUGUUGCAAUAGAUUGGGAUGACUUGUGGCUAGGGGUGAAAGGCCAAUCAAACUCGGAAAUAGCUGGUUCUCCGCGAAAUCUAUUUAGGUAGAGCGUCGAGCGAAUACUCCCGGGGGUAGAGCACUGGAUGGGCUAUGGGGACUCACCGUCUUACUGAUCCUAACCAAACUCCGAAUACCGGGAAGUACUACUCGGCAGACACACGGCGGGUGCUAACGUCCGUCGUGAAAAGGGCAACAACCCUAACCUCCAGCUAAGGUCCCCAAGUCAUGGCUAAGUGGGAAAGGAUGUGAGGAUCCCAAAACAACCAGGAUGUUGGCUUAGAAGCAGCCAUCAUUUAAAGAAAGCGUAACAGCUCACUGGUCUAGUCAAGGGUCUUUGCGCCGAAAAUGUAACGGGGCUAAAGCCAUGCACCGAAGCUGAGGAUUUGCGAGCAAUCGCAAGUGGUAGCGGAGCGUUCCGUAAGCCUGUGAAGGGGUACCUGUGAGGGGCCCUGGAGGUAUCGGAAGUGCGAAUGUUGACAUGAGUAACGAUAAAGAGGGUGAGAGACCCUCUCGCCGAAAGACCAAGGGUUCCUGCUUAAAGUUAAUCUGAGCAGGGUUAGCCGGCCCCUAAGACGAGGCGGACACGCGUAGUCGAUGGGAACCACGUUAAUAUUCGUGGGCCUGGUGGUAGUGACGGAUUGCUUAACUUGUUCACACUUAUUGGAUUGUGUGGGCGGGGACGCGGUUCCAGGAAAUAGCUCCACCGUAUAGACCGUACCCGAAACCGACACAGGUGGUCAGGUAGAGUAUACCAAGGCGCUUGAGAGAAUUAUGUUGAAGGAACUCGGCAAAUUGCACGCGUAACUUCGGAAGAAGCGUGACCCUUAUUUACGCAAGUAUGUGAGGGUGGCACAGACCAGGGGGUAGCGACUGUUUACCAAAAACACAGGGUUCUGCGAAGUCGCAAGACGACGUAUAGGGUCUGACGCCUGCCCGGUGCUGGAAGGUUAAGAGGAGGGGUGCAAGCUCUGAAUCGAAGCCCCAGUAAACGGCGGCCGUAACUAUAACGGUCCUAAGGUAGCGAAAUUCCUUGUCGGGUAAGUUCCGACCUGCACGAAUGGCGUAACGACUUCCCCGCUGUCUCCAACAUAGAUUCAGUGAAAUUGAAUUCCCCGUGAAGAUGCGGGGUUUCCUGCGGUCAGACGGAAAGACCCCGUGCACCUUUACUAUAGCUUUACACUGGCAUUCGUGUCGGCAUGUGUAGGAUAGGUGGUAGGCUUUGAAGCAGGGACGCCAGUUCUUGUGGAGCCAUCCUUGAAAUACCACCCUUAUCGUCAUGGAUGUCUAACCGCGGUCCGUUAUCCGGAUCCGGGACAGUGUAUGGUGGGUAGUUUGACUGGGGCGGUCGCCUCCGAAAGAGUAACGGAGGCGCGCGAUGGUGGGCUCAGACCGGUCGGAAAUCGGUCGUCGAGUGCAAUGGCAUAAGCCCGCCUGACUGCGAGACUGACAAGUCGAGCAGAGACGAAAGUCGGUCAUAGUGAUCCGGUGGUCCCGCGUGGAAGGGCCAUCGCUCAACGGAUAAAAGGUACGCCGGGGAUAACAGGCUGAUGACCCCCAAGAGUCCAUAUCGA